Molecule: non-coding RNA, 74 nt
Organism: Podarcis lilfordi (Lilford's wall lizard)
Lineage: Eukaryota; Metazoa; Chordata; Lepidosauria; Squamata; Lacertidae
Source: the annotation of a GenBank genome assembly
UCCUGGGAUAGCUCAGUCGGUAGAGCGUGAGACUCUUAAUCUCAGGUUUGUGGGUUUGAGCCCCAUGUUGGGAA